Molecule: ribosomal RNA, 301 nt
Filed under: uncultured bacterium
Lineage: Bacteria
Description: partial 16S ribosomal RNA
Rfam family: Bacterial small subunit ribosomal RNA
Source: RNAcentral
CAGCCGCCGCGGGAAGACAGAGGAUGCAAGCGUUAUUCGGAAUGAUUGGGCGUAAAGCGUCUGUAGGUGGCUUUUCAAGUCCACCGUCAAAUCCCCGGGCUCAACCCUGGACAAGCAGUGGAAACUACCAAGCUGGAGUACGGUAGGGGUAGAGGGAAUUUCCGGUGGAGCGGUGAAAUGCGUUGAGAUCGGAAAGAACACCAACGACGAAAGCACUCUGCUGGGCCGACACUGAUACUGAGAGACGAAAGCUAGGGGAGCAAAUGGGAUUAGAUACCCCCGUAGUCCCUGUCUCUUAUAC